Molecule: ribosomal RNA, 253 nt
Filed under: uncultured bacterium
Lineage: Bacteria
Description: partial 16S ribosomal RNA
Rfam family: Bacterial small subunit ribosomal RNA
Source: RNAcentral
GACGGAAGGUGCAAGCGUUGCUCGGAAUCACUGGGCGUAAAGGGUGCGUAGGCGGCCGUGCAAGUCUGGCGUGAAAGCCCCGGGCUCAGCCCGGGAAGUGCGCUCGAAACUGCGCAGCUCGAGUGCCGGAGGGGAGAGUGGAAUUCCUGGUGUAGCGGUGAAAUGCGCAGAUAUCAGGAAGAACACCCGUGGCGAAAGCGGCUCUCUGGAACGGUACUGACGCUGAGACGCGAAAGCGUGGGGAGCGAACAGG